Molecule: ribosomal RNA, 253 nt
Filed under: uncultured bacterium
Lineage: Bacteria
Description: partial 16S ribosomal RNA
Rfam family: Bacterial small subunit ribosomal RNA
Source: RNAcentral
UACGUAGGGUGCGAGCGUUGUCCGGAAUUAUUGGGCGUAAAGGGCUCGUAGGCGGUUUGUCGCGUCGGGAGUGAAAACAGCUGGCUUAACUGGUUGCUUGCUUUCGAUACGGGCAGACUAGAGGUAUGCAGGGGAGAACGGAAUUCCUGGUGUAGCGGUGAAAUGCGCAGAUAUCAGGAGGAACACCGGUGGCGAAGGCGGUUCUCUGGGCAUUACCUGACGCUGAGGAGCGAAAGUGUGGGGAGCGAACAGG